Elaeis guineensis (African oil palm) is the source of this 601-nucleotide long non-coding RNA. RefSeq annotates it as putative disease resistance protein RGA3. The record is from RefSeq and is a predicted model, not a curated record. Lineage: Eukaryota; Viridiplantae; Streptophyta; Magnoliopsida; Arecales; Arecaceae.
CUUUCUUUUUCUUUUUUUUUUUUUGGUCUCUUUCUGCAGUUAGGAAUGGAUCGUAAUCUAGGCUCCAUAUUUUACAUCUGCUUUAGCAAGCAAGAGAUGCGAGAUUAUUUGUCAACUUCGCGAUACUCUGCAUCAUUUUCGUCCUUUCAGAGUUUGAUAUCUCUCAUCCAUCUUCAACAAGAACAAGCACAGCAAUGAUUGUGAUCUACAACAAGCAAUUUGAAAGAGAAAGGAUUGAUGAAUGCAAGAUGAUGAUAGCAUUCCGAACAUCGUUAUUUCACCUGCUUGGCCAGAAGAAGGUAGCAUCGCGGACCAAAUCUUAUGAGAUCAGUGUAUCAUAUUUGGGAGCAUAGACAUUGGAAAGAUGUGUCUGUGAGCAAGUACAUUAUCGAAUUCUGCUUUUCCUUGUUUUGAGGACCAUAGUUUUUGGGAUUUGACUGAGGAAAUCAUGUUCGACAUAUAAUUACCAUAUUUGGAUGGACAGGGAUUGGAAAGAAAUAAUAUUUUUUUAGAGUGCAUUUGCAUGGAUGCAUGGGCAGAUGGAUUCAUGAAUGUAUAAAUCAAAUUUUAUACUUUGAUGUGAGAGCAUGUGACACCAAAA